This 284-nucleotide long non-coding RNA is filed under the name Zostera marina. RNAcentral describes it as "long non-coding RNA (ZMAR_LNC004764)". Lineage: Eukaryota; Viridiplantae; Streptophyta; Magnoliopsida; Alismatales; Zosteraceae. The record is from RNAcentral.
GCCGACUCCAGGGGGGAAUCGCCAACUCUAGGCCUCGUGGACAGCUCUGGUAGGCUGCCACUAGGCUCAUGGGGAGUCGGCGACUGAACCUCUGGAUCGGCGAUUCCCAUACCUGAAUCGCCGACUCCCAGCCGUUACUUGAGCGGACCUUCGCCAUUAAGGCAUUCCUUAUUAGGGGUACCUUAAUGGCGUGGGCCCCACUCGAAUGAAUGGGGAAACGCCCCCCAAGACCCUAUAAAAGGGGUCCUUGGGGGACCUCUACCCUCAACUCAUCCUCUCUUGAC